ACUCCUACGGGAGGCAGCAGUGGGGAAUAUUGCACAAUGGAGGGAACUCUGAUGCAGCGACGCCGCGUGAGUGAUGAAGGCUUUCGGGUCGUAAAACUCUGUCCUUGGGGACGAUAAUGACGGUACCCAAGGAGGAAGCCCCGGCUAACUACGUGCCAGCAGCCGCGGUAAUA
Molecule: ribosomal RNA, 173 nt
Filed under: uncultured bacterium
Lineage: Bacteria
Description: partial 16S ribosomal RNA
Rfam family: Bacterial small subunit ribosomal RNA
Source: RNAcentral